UACGUAGGGUGCAAGCGUUGUCCGGAAUUAUUGGGCGUAAAGAGCUCGUAGGCGGUUUGUCGCGUCGGCUGUGAAAACCUGGGGCUCAACCCCGGGCCUGCAGCCGAUACGGGCAAACUAGAAUUCGGUAGGGGAGACUGGAAUUCCUGGUGUAGCGGUGAAAUGCGUAGAUAUCAGGAGGAAUACCGAUGGCGAAGGCAGGUCUCUGGGCUGACACUGACGCUCAUGCACGAAAGCGUGGGGAGCGAACAGG
RNAcentral lists this ribosomal RNA (253 nucleotides) under uncultured bacterium. RNAcentral's name for it is "partial 16S ribosomal RNA". It matches the Rfam family "Bacterial small subunit ribosomal RNA", at positions 524 to 776 of the family's 1533-position model. The record is from RNAcentral.